Molecule: ribosomal RNA, 392 nt
Filed under: uncultured eukaryote
Lineage: Eukaryota
Description: partial 18S ribosomal RNA
Rfam family: Eukaryotic small subunit ribosomal RNA
Source: RNAcentral
CAAUAGCGUAUACUAAAGUUGUUGCGAUUAAAAAGCUCGUGGUUGGAUCUCAGGCAUGGGCGCACGGUCCGCCUCGCGGCGGUCACUGUGUGUUUUGUUUCCCAUCCUACGCUUCCCGGUUAUCAGCCCAUGGUGCUCUUCACUGAGCGUUUUGGGUGGCCGGAACGUUUACUUUGAAGAAAUUAGAGUGUUCAAAGCAGGCACGUCGCCUGAAUAAUGGUGCAUGGAAUAAUGGAAUAGGACCUCGGUUCUAUUUUGCUGGUUUUCGGAACACGAGGUAAUGAUUAAGAGGGACAGACGGGGGCAUCCGUAUUGCGGUGUUAGAGGUGAAAUUCUUGGAUCAUCGCAAGACGAACAACUGCGAAAGCAUUUGCCAAGCAUGUUUUCAUUAG